UGGUUUCCUCAAAGGUGUAUGGGCACCUAU
RNAcentral lists this non-coding RNA (30 nucleotides) under Rattus norvegicus (Norway rat). The record is from RNAcentral. Lineage: Eukaryota; Metazoa; Chordata; Mammalia; Rodentia; Muridae.